UGGGGAAUAUUGGGGCAAUGGAGGGAACUCUGACCCAGCAAUGCCGCGUGAGUGAAGAAGGUUUUCGGAUUGUAAAACUCUUUAAGCGGGGACGAAGAAAGUGACGGUACCCGCAGAAUAAGCAUCGGCUAACUACGUGCCAGCAGCCGCGGUAAUACGUAGGAUGCAAGCGUUAUCCGGAAUGACUGGGCGUAAAGGGUGCGUAGGCGGUAAAUCAAGUUGGCAGCGUAAUUCCGAGGCUUAACCUUGGAACUACUGCCAAAACUGGUGAACUAGAGUGUGUCAGGGGUAAGUGGAAUUCCCGGUGUAGCGGUGGAAUGCGUAGAUAUCGGGAGGAACACCAGUGGCGAAGGCGGCCUACUGGGGCACCAACUGACGCUGAGGCUCGAAAGUGUGGGUAGCAAACAGGAUUAGAUACCCUGGUAGU
RNAcentral lists this ribosomal RNA (427 nucleotides) under uncultured Faecalibacterium sp. RNAcentral describes it as "bacterial SSU rRNA". It matches the Rfam family "Bacterial small subunit ribosomal RNA", at positions 355 to 794 of the family's 1533-position model. The record is from RNAcentral. Lineage: Bacteria; Bacillati; Bacillota; Clostridia; Eubacteriales; Oscillospiraceae.